This 208-nucleotide ribosomal RNA is filed under the name uncultured bacterium. Its description in RNAcentral is "partial 16S ribosomal RNA". It matches the Rfam family "Bacterial small subunit ribosomal RNA", at positions 1282 to 1500 of the family's 1533-position model. The record is from RNAcentral.
CCGGUCCCAGUUCGGAUUGUAGGCUGCAACUCGCCUACAUGAAGUCGGAGUUGCUAGUAAUCGCGGAUCAGAAUGCCGCGGUGAAUGCGUUCCCGGGUCUUGUACACACCGCCCGUCACACCAUGGAAGUUGGGGCGCCCGAAGUUGCCUAAGAAAUAAGGUACCUAAGGCGAAACCAAUGACUGGGGUGAAGUCGUAACAAGGUAUC